UACGUAGGGGGCAAGCGUUGUCCGGAAUCAUUGGGCGUAAAGAGCGUGUAGGCGGCCCGGUAAGUCCGCUGUGAAAGUCCAGGGCUCAACCCUGGUAUGCCGGUGGAUACUGUCGGGCUCGAGUCCGGAAGAGGAGUGUGGAAUUCCUGGUGUAGCGGUGAAAUGCGCAGAUAUCAGGAGGAACACCAAUGGCGAAGGCAGCACUCUGGGACGUGACUGACGCUGAGACGCGAAAGCGUGGGGAGCAAACAGG
Molecule: ribosomal RNA, 253 nt
Filed under: uncultured bacterium
Lineage: Bacteria
Description: partial 16S ribosomal RNA
Rfam family: Bacterial small subunit ribosomal RNA
Source: RNAcentral